Molecule: long non-coding RNA, 23478 nt
Filed under: Gossypium raimondii (Peruvian cotton)
Lineage: Eukaryota; Viridiplantae; Streptophyta; Magnoliopsida; Malvales; Malvaceae
Description: long non-coding RNA (GRAI_LNC000716)
Source: RNAcentral
GUGCGUUACGUACUUAACCAAUGCAAAAAUGGUGAUGAAGGCGGCCUAGUGGACUUAAGACUGGUUGCCCGACACUAUUGUUGCAAUGUGAUAAAAAAGUUGAUCUUUAAUCGAGGGUACUUUGGAGAAGGGAAAGCAGAUGGUAGACCUGGUUUUGAGGAAGAAGAAUACGUCGACGCCAUUCUCGCUUUAGUCAUUCAUCUUUAUUCCUUUUGUAUAUCCGAUUACUGGCCAUUUUUGAGAGGCCUCGACCUGGAGGGGCAUGAGAAAAUCGUGGAGGACGCCACUAGGGUUCUAGAGAAAUAUAACAAUCCCAUUAUUGAAGACAGGAUUCAACAAUGGAGAGAUGGCAAGAAACAUGAACCUCAAGACUUGCUUGAUGUUUUGGUUUCUUUAACGGAUGACAAUGGUACCCCACUACUGUCCGCGGACGAGAUCAAAGCUCAAGUAAAUGUACGUCUUUCCUUCUCUUUAAUUGUUUUUGAACAAAAUAUAAGCCACCAACAUGUUAAUGUUUAUUAAAAAUGGAUUACUAAGACAUGACAAUAACAUAAAUAUGAUAUAAUAUACACGUGUCAUCAUAGAAAAUCAGCCCUGUAUAUUGAUAGUCUCUUUUUCAACUUAAUUUUCAGGAAAUUAUGAUUGCUGCAGUGGAUAAUCCAUCAAAUAACUUAGAAUGGGCACUUGNNNNNNNNNNNNNNNNNNNNNNNNNNNNNNNNNNNNNNNNNNNNNNNNNNNNNNNNNNNNNNNNNNNNNNNNNNNNNNNNNNNNNNNNNNNNNNNNNNNNGGUUAAUACAAGAAUCUGAUGUCCCACAACUUAACUUUACUAAGGCAUGCGCCAGAGAAGCCUUUAGACUCCAUCCUGUUGCAGCAUUUAGCCCUCCUCACGUGUCCGUGACUGAUACAACAGUGGGCGACUACUUCAUUCCUAAGGGUAGCCAUGUGAUAGUUAGUCGGGUUGGGCUUGGUCGAAACCCUAAAGUUUGGGACGAGCCAUGCGAGUUCAAGCCAGAACGUCACCUCCAGAAUUGUAAUAAAGGCGAAGAAGUGGUGCUUGAAGAGCCAGAUUUGCGGUUGUUUACAUUCGGUAGAGGAAGGAGAGGGUGCCCUGGAGUGGUGCUUGGAAGCUUGAUGACUACCAUGCUGUUUGCGAGGCUAUUGCAAGGAUUCGAUUGGAGCAUCCCGACUAACCAGGGAACCAUUGAUCUUUGUCCAGGAAGGGGAGUUCCCUUUCUGGCUAAACCACUGCUUGCUGUUGCAAAGCCACGAUUGCCACCGCAUGUCUACUCUUUCUUAACUGAAAGUGAAAUACAGUGAUUAACUCCUUGACGAAGAUGGGGGUUGACAAGGGAGACCUGUUUGUGGCUUGGUUCUAAUGAAAUUGUUUUUAUCCCUAGUAUGUAUUUCCUGUUGUAGCUUAUUUCGGUGUUUGUAUGGGGUGUACUCACUUCAGCAACUUCUUAUGUAUUGUUUUCUCAUUAAUAAAAAUGGAUAAGCAGUUAGUAGCUGAUGUAUUGCUUUCCAUGUAACUUCAUCAAUGCACAUGAUAAAGUUUUUCAAUCGAGCUUUCCAAUAGGCAUGGUUCGAAGAGCCAACGAGAAGAGAUGCUCGCAUAAUAGAACUUCCUUCUUUCAUAACUUCCACGGUAGAAAACUGUAGUAGGAUCAUAUUCAACCAACUCUUGAAGCUUGCUUUGGUACCAUUUGGAAAAAAAAAAAAAAAAAGUCAGUUUGUUGUAAUUUUAACCAGACUACUCAAGUAUGUGUUUUGUCACAGGAUUCAACAGACAACGAAACAAAAACCAGAAUAGAGAAAGUAAUAAGAGAUUUUGCAUGCAAUAAUUUGUUAACGCAGUUCGGAAAUAAUUCUAUUUUGCCAAGACUUGUUUAGUGAAUGAUUCUUAUUCAACAAUCUUUCAUAUUACCUAUUGGUUUAAACCCAAUCUAUCCUUACACAAAAAAGUAAUUGCAACCCCAACACCAAUUAUUACAAAUCACUCACCCCAACUAACCUCGCUUACAUCAAGUAUAAACUCGAAUAAAAGCCUAACACAAGAGUGCAAAAAUACCAAAUAAUCUAUUUAUAGGCUAAAAUCGACAUCUUUUCCAAAUAGUCUUGAUAAAGUAAAUCCAUCAAUUUUAAUUUGAAUAUAUCUUCUGGAAUUAUCUCAAAUAAUUAUCCCAAAUUUUAGUACAAUUAAUCUCCUUAAAAUCAACCCAUAAAUCUGUCAAGAUAAGUACAAAGGAUAAGCACAAGUCUUAUCCACAAAAUUAAGUAAAUCUUAACUUCUUUAAAUUUCCAAAUUGAACCAUGACUUUGAUUUACAAUAAAUCUCAUCCAUAAAUUAGGUUCUAGAAGUUCAUUUUCUUGUGGAAACAUCACAUAAAAAGGCUCAAGUCAUAUAAAUCAAUAAAACAUUCAGGUUAUCCCAACGUCUUGAUCAAAUCUUAACUGAUCAAGUGACUGGUCUCAACCAUCAAAUUCUCAAUGCUUGGACAACCUUGGUCUUAAUAUUUUUGGUAAAACCAUUUCUUCCUAUUGCAAGGCCACGAUUGCCACCUUUAAGUCUACUUUUUUAGGGAGUAAAUGAAAGAGAAAGAAAGAGAAACACAGUGAUGUUACAAGGAAUAAAAUAAAGUAUUAAUUUUAUUACCCACAUUUGUUAAUAAAAAAUAAAAUCUCAGCUCGUAAGGUUGGGUUGAUCAUUUGUACACUAUUUUUUAUUGCCACAAAAUAUUAUGUUAAUUAAAUGUAUUUUAAAUAUUUUUCAAAAAAAAAAAAGGAUAUUAAUUAUUGUAUUGUACCAAUCGACUAUUUGCAUUGGCCCCUAUGUAUAUCCAUUUUGGAGAGUGUUUUCAAUCAUAAGGAAUUGUUGUGGAAGCAAAAGGCUUGUUGUGGCUAGCUUCAUUUUGGUGAUCAUAAUACUAAAAUUUUCAUAUUCAUACGAUUCAGAGGAGAAAGUUAAAUCGUAUUACUGCUCUAAAGGUUGGUAACGAUGAAUAGCCCUUUGAUUAGGAUACUUUUCAAGUUGAGGCUUUUGGUUUCUUUCAGAAACUUCAUGGAGAAGCCCUGGAACGCAUGAAUAGGCCUCUAUUAGCAUUUUUCCUCGCCUUAACUCUUUGGACAUUGUUUUUUCAAUUAAGGCUAUCACAAAUGAAGAAAUUAAGUUGACACUAUUUGGCAUGGCGUCUUUGAAGGCCCUGGGAAAUGAUGCCUUCUAUGUUUUAUUCUUUCAAAAUCAAUGGGAUGUUGUUGGUAAUGAUGUUUGUGAGUGGGUCAAAAUGGUGUUUGUAGGUAAAGCCAUUGAUCUGGACUUGAAUAAUACUUUGAUAGUUCUGAUCUCUAAGUUAACGAAUCCUGAAAACUUUUCUCAAUUUCGACUGAUUAGUCUAUGCUCUAUUCUCUACAAAUUGGUCAUGAAAGUUAUUGCUAAUCUUUUCAAGGUAGCCUUUCCUAAUUUUAUUGCACAAGAGUAGGUAGGGUGUAACACCGUCUACUUGACCUGGAUCACCAGAUCCGGAUACCGGAUUUUACAACACUUAAACACUUCAUCAAAUUUUAUACAACAUAUGUAAACUAUUUCUAAACUUACAUCAUAAUACUUAUGUACUGUUCUUUGAUGUAAAAGACAAUAUCCAGUAAUUACAUUAACUUAUUACUCAGUGUACAACCUACAACAUAAGAUUUUAUUAAAAAUAAACUCUUUAAGGCAUGUUAUACUAUACGCCAUACUCUUAUGAUGUCCUUUGUAUGCAUAUUCGCCCAACUCGUUAUUAUCAUGGCGUACUCCUGGCUUGAUCCCCUCCUGGUGAACUCACUCUUAUAGCAAGACCUGAAACAUGAACAAACAAUUGUAGGUUGAUGUGAACUUAGUGAGUUUUUAUCACUGAAUAACUUGAAGCUUUUCUAGUUAAACUCCACAUCUUGAAGAAUUUGGAUCACACCUCUAUCUUUGGUAGGUACUUUCAUAAUAUAAAAUAUAUUCUUAUACGCCAACUUUCAUUGUUAAUGUAACGAUUCUCAAUUUUUUUCUUGGCUAACCACAAAUCUUAUCAGAUGAUAUAUAUAUGUCACAUCUCAACCAGGCUGAUUUGAAUAGAAGGCGUGCAAAAAUGAAGUUUUUUGUUCUAACGCACUCUAAUAGUUAGUUCACCAACUUUUAACAUCUGGUGAAUUAAUGUUUUGGCAAGUAGAGUAUUCGCCCAUAUAAAUACUUCAAAUUUAGUUCUCAUAGUAUUAUUUAAUUAAAGAAAGAAUUUGACAAACUGAGGGUAAGCCUUCUACAGGUUACCACAAAAAGUAUAGUACACAUGGUUUCCCUGAGCACUGUGCUAACUAGGUUGGUAAUGUGAUAUGGUUAGGAGUUAAUUGAAUUGUUAGGUCACAUAAAAAUUCUAUAGGACUCUCAUUUAUGUUUCAGUUGGAUCUUGUAGGUAAUUUAUUACGACAAAUUCUGGAUAUAAUUAACACUAGUCAAGUUUCACUAAACUGGACUUGAUAUAUAUAUGGUGAGAAGGGUUUGUCUAGAAGAUUUUUCUUCUUUUAACACUAAUCUCUGGUUCUUCUUCUUAAACUUAUAUGUUUCUUCUCCUUUAUUAAGUUGGAAGCAAUGGUUUUUGAAUUAAUGAUUAGAUGUUCCACCUCCUAGUAAAUCUGAUAGCUCUACAUAUUAAGUUUUUGAAAGAAUAAGAAUAUUAAAAAGCAUAUGAACAGUGAAUUAUGAAUAAGAAACCCUACAUGAGGGUCAUAUAUAAUUAAGAUGUUAACCAUUUAUUUUUCAAUAGGUUUUAAUAGUAGUUUUAUGUUCUUUAAGCAGUUGUUGUUGUUGUUCAUAGGGAUGUUCAAGUUUAGAACUGCAAGCUAUAGUCUAUGUGAGUAUCAGGUGAGUCUCUAUCUUAUCUUAUGUAUGUGAAUUGUUCAAUUAGUAACAUGUAAGUUUAUCUCAUCUUAGAUGAUUGGUAAGCAUGCUUAUGAGAUCUUAUAUGAAAAAGUAAGAACCAUUUAACUAUGCAAAUAAAUCUAGGCAAGUAACUACUGAGUAAAACAUUCAUUUUUUAUGCCUCAGGUGGGGCAGCACACGAUGUGGAGAUGCGUAAGUCCAUGUGGUAGAGGCACAUGGCAUCUUAUAACAAUGAAUACAUUCAUUGUUUUGACUCUAGUAAGAUGAAGAUUAGACUGGUAGAUCAUGACAUGAAGAUAUGUAUAAGUCUAUGAAGGAGAAACCUAUGACGUUUUCUGUGAAAGUCCACUGGGACAAUAAACAUCUGAUUCUAUUUUUUUCUGAGUGGCGUGAUAUGCUAAGCCUUAGUGGUGUAUCUUGUGUUGUUUUUGUGGCAAAUUAUGAAACACCUAUGUGGCAUAUCUGGGAAUACCUUUGUGGCAGAAUUUGAUUAUCUACCUUUGUCGUAAGUACUGAGGUUUCUUCGAUAAAUGAAUCAAGGGUAAAUAUCUGAUGGAAAUGAUUAGUCUUGUGAUGAAACUGAAUUUUUCUAAAAGGGAUGACUACUGAAUGAAAGUAUGUUUCUGUAUUUCUAAAAAAAGGAAUCCACCAUAGUAGUCUGUCAGUAUAGGUUAUAGGCAUGUUCAUGUUGUGAAAGGUAUAGGUUCUCAUUAGCUUGAAUUUGUUUACGCUAUAUAAGACUAAAAUCUAAUUCAUCUAGUAUAUGUCAUAUUUGAGUAGUAUCAUGUCUCUUUCUAAGGAUAUUUGGAAUCUAGGUCAUUGCCAAUCUGGGCAUUCUUACGUUAUGUAACAUAGACAUUUGGAAUUCAUUUCUAUGAUCUAAAACGUUUCCUUAUCAGUAUGAGCAUGUGUUAGGUUUGAGUCAGAAUCUGAUCUAGUUUAUAGUAUAGUAAUUAUCAAACUUAGUAUAAGAAUCUGCCAAAUGUAAGAUCUGUAAGUGUUAUCUGCCAAGAGAGAGAGUAUCUGUGAACAACCAUUCUAAUAUAAAGGAUAUAUGUUGUCGAAGGGUAAAAUCGUAGAAAGUGGGCUUUGUAUAGAUAUCUUUUUGAGAAGUAUCUGCAUUGUUUUAGGAGAAGAGAAGAUGUAGUUAUCGUCUGGUAAGAUCUGGAAUUAACUAAGUAGUAAAAUGAGAGUUGAUACGAUAAGUAUGGUUGAUGGUAUAUAUGUGUAUAUAAAUCAAACAUUAUGAGGGUGUUCACCAAACACAGAUGAUAAUCUAAAUAUUCAUGAUGAAGAUUUGGUCUAAAAAAGGCUUCAAGGUAUUUUGUAUUCAGGCUUACUAUGUUCAUGUAAACUUAUAGGCAUUUUGUUCAUGUUUCAGGUAAAUCACUAGAUAAGUGUUUGAGAUGUACCUCGCUCGUUGCAUUUACUCGCCCAGCUUCCCAGUUUCCAUCACCACUUUUCCCUAAAAGUUUGAUGGACAACCCACCUCUCUCAUAGGUGGUAGCCUCAUUGUUGACUCAAUAGGCUUCAUAUCGGUUUGUCGCACCUCUAGCCUUUCCAAUGAGGUCUCUGUAACACUCCAAUCUACCGAUUCAAUGUUCUUCCUACAAUAAACAUCUUCGACUAGCUGGAUUGACGAUAGUACCUUGAUUCCUCCCCUCUUGUCUUAACUCAUCGACACAACAAAUUGUUGUGGUCGAGCAUUCAAGAUAAAACUGCAAUUGGCAAAAGGAAUCAACAAAUCAUUAAUUUUUUAAAGAAAUUCAAGCUAAGCAUGAAGUUGUAAUCAUCUAAGUGAAUUACCUCAAAGUUUUCUUUUUCUUUCCAUUGACCGAUUUACAGCUCAACUCCUUAUGCUACUCCCACAAUUAGGACCUCUUUGGAAUUAACAGUCUUGAUCUUUUUGGUUGAUUUGCUAAUUGAGAAACCAAGUUUACCCAUAAUUUUUUGGAUAUGAAUAAGUUAGAUGCCCCCGCAUCAACAAGACCAUUCUUCCUUUGACCUGCGAUGUUAAUGUCAACAUACAUCAACCUUUUCUACUUUUGAUCCCUUUACGUCUUCACAGAAUUGAGUAUCAUUAACCCAAGCUUUAAAGCCUCACUCUCAACAGGCUUCGCUUUAUUCUUUUUAUUGAUCACGAACAUCUUGGAUUGCUUUGGACAUUUUGCAUCCUAUGUGGACCAUAGUACAAGAAGCAUUUCACUGGCUUCUUUUCAUUCUCUUUGAACCUCUUGCCUUUGUUAGAACACACAAGUAAACUAAGUCUCACCAAUGCUCUAUUUGGUUCAUCGUCCCCUUUGACGGCAAAAAGCACAAAUUUCUUUAGAUAGUUUGUCACCAUAUGUAGACUAUCACAAAAGAAGCAUUUCACUAGCCCCUUCGGUUUGUAGUUGGGCUACCACUUCCCAUUAAGUGGCUUCCCAUUGCCACCAUUCUUACCAUUUCCAUUUUUAACUUGUCCCUCUUCCUCAUGGUCUCCUCUACCAUUUCCCAUCUUUUUAGGCUUGAAAGACUCAAACUUGUUUUUCUUCAAACCAAGCUCGACAAAGAAUUUUGCCUCAACUAUGGCUACAAUAAGCUCAGUGAUACCUUGUCGAUGAUCCUCUUACUUCGCCCAAUGCUUCAACCUAUAUUUAAACUAGUAGAAUGUUUUUUUUCUCACUUAGGUCAAAGAUUUGAAGCAUCAAUUCACUAAAGUCUCUAACAUACUUUCGAACAUUGCCUUGUUGUGUAAGUUGGCGCAACUUAGCCCGAACCUCCUUUUCAACAUACUACGGGUAAAACUAUUUCUUCAGUUCUUUCUGGAACUCCUCCCAAGUACCAAUUGCAGUACCACAUUAUCUCUCGUCUGUAGACCUAUGGCGCCACUACAAAAUAAGGACAUCAGUAAAAUAAACUGCAACGGUGUUUACCUUAGUGCCAUCAUCCUCAAUGCCCAUUACACAGAAGUGUUGUUCAAUUCCCUAGAGAAAAUUGUUCAUAUCUCUUCCGAACAUCAUCCCCUUAAACUCUUUCUGCUUGGGGACAUACAUUUUGAGCUGCUUAGGAACUGAAGCCAACAUCCAAUUUCCCAUAACAACUCUACACACAGUGAGCUCUCUCUCAAGCUUCUGAAUUUUUUACAUCGUGGCCUAAGUUUCCUCCUUCAGGCCACAAUCGAAGCUUCAAGAACAUCAUUACUCUUGUCAGCUUCUCGAUCUGAUCACCCAUGGCAACAUUGAGGGCCUUGUUAAUCACAUCCGUAUUGGCACUAAGAUUCUCUGCCACAAAGUCCUUAAGCUGAACUCUGAUUGAGUCUAACUCAUCGAUGUGUCCCUAAAUUACCUUAAGUGUUUCCUUCACACUACCCAUAGACUUCUUAAGAUUGUCACCGGACCUUCCAAAGCCGACAGCAUAUCCCUUGAUCUGUUUUUUUCUUGGACCUCUCACGAGUCUCCAUCAGGACAUUCUACUCGUCCCUUCAUUUCAUCAUCCUAAUCGAUGCCUCCAAACACUAGUUCUAAUACCAACUGUCAUAGGGCUAGAACUUUAGUUUGGCAAACCGCGUGGGUUCAAAUCCUACCUAAUUUUAGCCUACUCUCGAAAAAUGAAAAUUCUAAUAGAAAUUCUGUAAGGAACCGAAGCAAAGCGAAAGCAAACUUGAAAGACAAAAGAAGCUACAAACGAACAAAAAGCCACAGAAAAAUAACGUACACCAAGUGUUUGAGUAAAUGUUCUCAAAAGUAUUCUAUUACUUUGAAGGUUUACAACUGAGUGAUUACAAAUGAGGGGGAAUAUCUCUGUUUAUAGUUGAGCUCUCCCAAAUUCAACAUUACAAAUUAAGUUACAUAGAUGGUCAAGAUUUGUGCCUAUCUACAAGAUGAGAGUCCCAAAGGAUUUAAGCUCUAUACGUCUUUAUCCCUUAUGAUUUGUAUUAAUUAUCUUGGUAACUCUAGUUUUACUAAUGCUUUUCACUGGACCAUCAAAACUUUAAGUAAAUAGGCUUCUCCAUAUGUUUCACUGUGUGCAAUAGUUACGGGUUUGAUCCACGACCCAUAAGACUUACACCUUUUAAAUUUUAGAAAAAAAAUGUACUAACCUCUAAAAUUUAUUUAUUAAAUGAGUUUGAAAUAAAAGAAUAACAUUACCUUUAUCAAUUAACUAUUAUUCUAUUUUAUUAUUAUCCUCAAUUUUUAAUUAAUAUAAUAAAAUUAAUUAGUUAUAAAAAUAUUUUGAUUAUUAUUAAAUUAAAUUGUAAAUAUAAUAUUAUUCUAAUAUGAUCACAUGUUAAAUAUAAUAUAUUAUUCUAUUAAUAUAUGUAACAAAAUUUUUAAAAUUACAAGCAUAAUCACAAUUAAAAAUAUUAAAAAUACAUCGGAAUAACUAUAACUUAAAUAUAUCAUCUUAAAACGUAAUCUAAAAUAUUUUAAAAGAAUUUAUUACUAUUUAAUAAAUUUAUUACCAGAAUAAACCAUUUGAAAGCAAUGUCUCUAAACAUAAAACUUCUUUAAACAUAAAUAAUCACCAUUGCACUGAAAAUCUGACAAAGCUGAAAAUACAGUAUGGUAUCUAAUGAAAUUGAGAAUUUCCAGUAUUUCAUCUUAUGCGUUGAAAAUAUAGUUAAUAUAUUAAUACACUUUAUUUAAUUUAAUACUCAGUUCAAACACUCCAAUAAAUGUUUGGUACAUAUAUUUUAGUAAAAAAAUAUGUAGUUAACUGCGAUAAAAAAUAAAAUUUAAGUAAAUUGAAUAUUAAAAUUAAAUUUGAAUAUUUAAAUGAGACAAAGAAAUAUAUUUGCCCAAAAAAAAAAAUCAUACCAAUAUCUCAUUCCUCCCGUGCCAGCGGCCCCUUUAACAGAUUAGCCUCAACAUCACGUUCCUCAAGUAGAAUGAGUGCAUCAAUAACGAAUUUUUUAGCAGAAUUAACUCUAAAACCGAUAACUUGCCUAGUUCCCACAUCAAAGAAACCUCCAUACUCAAAGUUCUUCGGCCAAACGAGUUGAGAUCCAUCAUUGCUUCAUUUCUUUUGAAUUUCCAUCACUAUGUUUUAGUACAUGCCAAGAGCCCAUGUCUUCAACAAGCGUCACUUUCUAUAUUUGGCCUGGAUAAUUUUAUUUCUAUUGGGAAAAGAGAAUCUCAUGUUACAUUGUACCAUGCAAUAUUGUCUUCAAGCUCAAAGACUUUUGGGUCUGCAAACUAAGCUAAUUAGGCCCAACGUCUAAAUUGCACCUCAAAUCCCCAACCAUAAUCUGAACAUGGCCUACUUCAUCAAAUUGGCUCUACAAACAAAGUUCAUUAGGCCCAACAUCUGGAUUGCACCUCAAAUCCCUGAACCAUAAUCUGAACAUGGCCAACUUCACCAAUAUUUAUAUUAGGCUCAUAUCAGCAUCAUGCUCAUUCAAACCCAUCACAGUUUCUGCCCAUUCCAAAUUUCCAUCCCUCCUAUUGUUACCUACCUCAUCAUCCCUCAUAGAAUCUAGCCGAACUUAUUUUGAGACCUAUAGCAGUAUAGUUCAUUCCAUUAAAAAAUAUAUAGAGCCUUUUUUUGAAAAAAAUUUCACUUAAUGAAAAAACCUUUAUUUUCUUAAAUUGUGCACUUGUUAAGUUUUCCUUUUUAAGAUUAUUCGUGAAAAUGAUUUCAUUUUUCCCUUUAAUUCGUGCUGUAUCAUCAACUCAUAAUUAAAAAGUUUAAACACCACCCAAUUUGAGAAGAAGAAAGAGCUUGAGGUUGUUGCAACCAAUGUUGUUCAAUUAAUUAUUAGAAAUUAUAUAAUUUAGAGGUGAUUUUUGGUUUUCUUUUUUAAUAUUGUGAUUCUAAAACUCAAACCGAAAAUUUAUAAUUAAAUUGCUAUGAUAAGCUCAAUCAUAGAGAAAGUGGGCAUCUUUUAUACGGGGAAUUUCUCUAGGAUUAGAAUCUCCUGAGUGUAAUGAGACAAAUAUACGGUAAGUAUAAGAGUUACAGAAUUGUCGAGUAGUUUGGUUGUUGUUUAUAAAAUCCUACACUAUUAUUAUAUGUAAAAUGAGACAAAUAUAUGGUAAGUAUAAGAGUUUAAUAAUUGUCAAGUUGUUUAUCAAGUCCUACACUCUUGAUACGAGUAAAAUGAGACAAAUAUACGGUAAGUAUAAGAGUUCAAUAAUUGUCAAGUUUUUUUUUCAAAUAAUAAUUGUAAGAAUUUUCAAGGUUUAAUUAUUUUAAAAUGUGUUAAAUAAUGAUAUUACAGUUUUUAAUUAAUACAAAAAUUUCACAGAAAAUAUUGAAAAAGAAUAAGUGGAUAGUUACGCAUUCCUUAAUGUUGAAAUCCUUAAAAAAUCAUAUUUGAAAUAAAUGAUCUCUAUUUUAAGUAAAAAAAAAACUUAUAUUCAGUUUUUACCCAAAACCAUCCUAAUAAUAUAAAAUAUUAUAUUUUUAGAUUAAAAUUAAAAAAAAAUCAACUUUUACUUUUAACAAGAAAUGACGUUUAAUAUGGGACAAUGGACAUCGGAGUUGCACCUGGUAGUAUUUCAAUCCCAAACUCAACCUCCCUAUCUUGAGGUAAUCCCGAUAACUCCUCAGGAAAGCCAUCAAGGAAGUCCCUAACAAUAUGAAUUCCUUCCAUAGCUGAAUCCACCUUACUCAUAUCAUGCACAUAUGCCAAAUAUGCAUCACACCUCUUUCGAAUUAGCUUUUCAACUGCCAGAGCGAAAAUCACAUUAGAUAAAUAAUCUCGAAGCUUACCAACCAUCACAGCCUCCACAUCAUCCCCAACUUUGAAGGUCACUCUCUUAGACUCACAGUCCAGUCUAACUCGAUGCUCCACUGUUAUUAUAUGUAAAAUGAAAAUGGAUUGAUUUUUUCCCUUUAAUUCGUAAUGUAUUAUCAACUCAUAAUUAAAAAGUCUAAACACCACCCAGAUUGAGAAGAAGAAAGAGCUUAAGGUUGUUGCAUUUAAUUAUUAGUUUCCAAUGUUGUUCAAUUAAUUAUUAGAAAUUAUAUAAUUUAGAGGUGAUUUUUGGUUUCUUUUUUAAUAUUGUGAUUCUAAAAUUCAAACCGAAAAUUUAUAAUUAAAUUGCUAUGAUAAGCUCAAUCAUAGAGAAAGUGGGCAUCUUUUAUACGGGGAAUUUCUCUAGGAUUAGAAUCUCCUGAGUGUAAUGAGACAAAUAUACGGUAAGUAUAAGAGUUACAGAAUUGUCGAGUAGUUUGGUUGUUGUUUAUAAAAUCUUACACUAUUAUUAUAUGUAAAAUGAGACAAAUAUAUGGUAAGUAUAAGAGUUUAAUAAUUGUCAAGUUGUUUAUCAAGUCCUACACUCUUGAUACGAGUAAAAUGAGACAGAUAUACGGUAAGUAUAAGAGUUCAAUAAUUAUCAAGUUUUUUUUUUCAAAUAAUAAUUGUAAGAAUUUUCAAGGUUUAAUUAUUUUAAAAUGUGUUAAAUAAUGAUAUUAUAGUUUUUAAUUAAUGAAAAAAAAUUCACAGAAAAUAUUGAAAAAGAAUAAGUGGAUAGUUACGCAUUCCUUAAUGUUGAAAUCCUUAAAAAAUCAUAUUUGAAAUAAAUGAUCUCUAUUUUAAGUAAAAAAAAAAACUUAUAUUUAGUUUUUACCCAAAACCAUCCUAAUAAUAUAAAAUAUUAUAUUUUUAGAUUAAAAUUAAAAAAAUCAACAUUUACUUUUAACAAGAAAUGACAUUUAAUAUGAGACAAUGGACAUCAGAGUUGCACCUGGUAGUAUUUCAAUCCCAAACUCAACUUCCCUAUCUCGAGGUAAUCCCGAUAACUCCUCAAGAAAGCCAUCAAGGAAGUCCGGAACAAUAUGAAUUCCUUCCAUAGCUGAAUCCACCUUACUCAUAUCAUGCACAUAUGCCAAAUAUGCAUCACACCUCUUUCGAAUUAGCUUUUCGACUGCCAAAGCGAAAAUCACAUUAGAUAAAUAAUCUCGACGCUUACCAACCAUCACGGCCUCCACAUCAUCCCCAACUUUGAAGGUCACUCUCUUAGACUCACAGUCCAGUCUAACCCGAUGCUCCACUGUUAUUAUAUGUAAAAUGAAAAUGGAUUGAUUUUUUCCGUUUAAUUCAUAAUGUAUCAUCAACUCAUAAUUAAAAAGUCUAAACACCACCCAGAUUGAGAAGAAGAAAGAGCUUAAGGUUGUUGCAUUUAAUUAUUAGUUUCCAAAGUUGUUCAAUUAAUUAUUGGAAAUUAUAUAAUUUAGAGGUGAUUUUUGGUUUUCUUUUUUAAUAUUGUGAUUCUAAAACUCAAACCGAAUAUUUAUAAUCAAAUUGUUGUGAUAAGCUCAAUCAUAGAGAAAGUGGGCAUCUUUUAUACAGGGAAUUUCUGUAGGAUUAGAAUCUCUUGAGUGUAAUGAGACAAAUAUACGGUAAGUAUAAGAGUUACAGAAUUGUCGAGUAGUUUGGUUGUUGUUUAUAAAAUCCUACACUGUUAUUAUAUGUAAAAUGAGACAAAUAUAUGGUAAGUAUAAGAGUUUAAUAAUUGUCAAGUUGUUUAUCAAGUCCUACACUCUUGAUACGAGUAAAAUGAGACAAAUAUACGGUAAGUAUAAGAGUUUAAUAGUUGUCAAGUUUUUUUAUCAAAAAAUAAUUGUAAGAACUUUCGAGGUUUAAUUUUUUAAAAUGUGUUAAAUAAUGAUAUUACAGUUUUUAAUUAAUACAAAAAUUUCAUAGAAAAUAUUGAAAAAGAAUAAGGGGAGAGUUAUGGAUCCCUUAAUGUUGAAAUCCUUAAAAAUCAUAUUUGAAAUAAAUGAUCUCUAUUUUAAGUAAAAGAACAAAAAACUUAUAUGUAGUUUUUACCCAAAACCAUCCUAAUAAUAUAAAUAUUAUAUUUUUAGAUUAAAAUUAAAACAUCAACAUUUAGUUUUAGCAAGAAAUGGCAUUUAAUAUGGGGCAAUGGACACCGGAGUUGCAGCUGGUAGUAUUUCAAUCCCAAACUCAACCUCCCUAUUUGGAGGUAAUCCCGAUAACUCCUCAAGAAAGACAUCAAGGAAGUCCCUAACAAUAUGAAUUCCUUCCAUAGCCGAAUCGACCUUACUUAUAUCAUGUACAUAUGCCAAAUAUGCAUCACACCCCUUUCGAGUUAGCUUUUAGCUGCUAGAGCGAAAAUCGCAUUAGAUAAAUAAUCUCGACGCUUACCAACGAUCACAGCCUCCACAUGAUCCCUAACUUUGAAGGUCACUCUCUUAGACUCACAGACCAGUCUAACCCGAUGCUUCACUAACCAAUCCAUACCCAAGGUUAGGUCGAACCCCUUGAAUGGCAACUCUAUCAAAUCAGCUGGAAAUACUUACCCCUAAACCUCAAGCGAACACAUCCUAUAAACUUUACUAAAUCGAAUAGAUUGAACCAAAGGACUAAUCAUUGAAAGUUCAGAACUAGUGUCCACAGCCAGAAUCCCCAAAUUACUCAUUAUACUACUAGAUACAUAAAAGUGCGUAGAUCCACAAUCAAUAAGUGCAAAACAUGAUAAAGAAUGUAUAGCAAACAUAUCAACAAUCACAUCAAUCGUAUCUUUGUCAUCACGGCGCCACGUCACGUAAACCGAAGUUGACUGCCUGGCCUCAGCCUGUCCUGCAACUCUGUCUGGUGUUGUCUAACCACAUCCACCGCCAUUAACCUUCUAAUCUAACCAUGGCCCCUAACAGAUUGCUAACCUACCAUCUGGGACGAAAUCUGACCCUGAACUGGAGCCCGCCCUAGCUCAAUAAUAAGGGGGCACUCACCAAUGUUAUGCCCCACAGUCCCAUACCUAACGCAAGCCCUAGUCCUCCUCCAACAGUCACCCGGAUGGCGUCUAUUACAAUAACCAGAAAUUAUAACCUGCUCAGCUCUAGCAACCAGUACAACUCUGGCAGCUGACUCUGUCUGCAAAUUUUUAUCAUACCUAGCCCGUUUCAUGGGCCUUUGAGAAGAACUAGAAGGACCCGAAUCCCUCUUGUUCUUGUUCUGACUUUUCUCUUGCUCUCUCUUUUCACGCUCAGUGUGCUUAACCUAUUCAACUAUCUUUGUCUUGUCCACCAAGGCUAUAAAAACCCGUUCCCUCUUAGGAGCUAUCAAAACCUUGAGAUCAUACCUCAAGCCCUCCUCGAAACGUAUGUUCUUUUCUUAAUCAUUAGCAACCAACCUUCGAGCAUAACCAUUAAAACGUAAAAACUCGGCCUCAUACUUGGCUACCGAUUUAUCCCCCUGAUUUAACCUCAUAAAAUCGCAUUUAUGGGUAUCAACAUAGCUUGCCCCCACAUAUUUACUCUGUAAGGCAUUUCAAAAAUAAUCCCACUUCAGCUAUUCAGGCUGACUACCUCCUGCACAAUCAAACACCACUGGUAUGCCUUAUCACAAAGCAAGGUUACCACACCCUUCAAUAUCUACUCAGGGGUGCAAUCUAAAUCAUUCAUUAUCCUUUCUGUGGCUUCAACCAUACCACACCACAAUUUUGCAACCUGCUUCCCAAACACGCAAAAAAGCACAAUUUUUAGGCUUUCUAAGCAUUCUAAAGUAAAUAUAAGAAGGGAGAUGGGAGCCAUUAAAGAAAAUUGAAGAAAAUAAUUGAGGAACACCAUUAGGAGCCAACUCAGAAGUGAAUCUCCAUCAAGAUCGAAGAUCUCCUUUUCAUUUCUUUCAAAGUUUUUAUGAGUUUCUUUAUGUUUUGUGGUUAUUCUGAGUUGGAGAUGUUUUCAUUCAGGAUUAUGAACUAAUUCCCUAGAUAUUUAGAGAGGAUGAAACUGAUGAUGAAUUUUAUUAUUUAAUUUCUAUUUUACGUGGUAAAUACCUGAUUCUUGUUCUCAAUUAUCUGUGCUUAUUUCUUAUUUUAAUAUUUUUGGGAUAUUAAUUAAUGUUUAAUGUGUUUAAUUCAGUGGAGGAAAAGUCUUAAUUUAAGAGUAGUUCUAGCACAAUUGAUUGGAGUUGUAUGCAAUCCUUGAAGUAAGACGACAUAAAUUUACCGGAUUAAAGUCAAAUAUAAUAAGGGAAUCCAUAGAUCGAAUUAAUAAGAUGAUAGGGGCUUUAUUUAAAAAGAGAUUUCAAUUAAUCAACCUAAAGUCAGUUGCUAUUACUCUCAAAAGAGAUAUUAGCAUAAUUUAGGGAUUUCUACGGAUCAAGUCACGAAGUGAAUAAAUUUUUGAAUUAAAAUUAAUAAUAAUAGAUGAAGUCUAGGUGGAUUCUUUCCUUGGUGUUGUCUUUCUCAUUGGUUAUUAUCCUGUUGCUUCAUUGAUUUAUUAUUCUGUUGUUUUUAGUCAUUUUGGAUACGAUAUCUCUACUCACCGUAGCUAUACUAUAAUUUGAUAAAUGCGCUUGCUUUUGUCAUAAAGUUUAGUUAGUACGGAAAACACACAUCAAUGUUUUGGCACCGUUGCUAGGCAUUAAAAUAUUAGGAACACUUGAAUUUUUUAAAUUUAGCCAAUUUUAUUUUAUUUAUUUUAUUUUUAUAUUUUAUUUUAGUUUAAUUUUUACGUUCUAAUUUUUCUUGUUUGCUUUUGGCAAGUUCUUUUGGUUUAUGACUAGAAGAAACCCGUCAGAACCAUUGUUAUUUGACAGUGACAUUGAAAGUACUGCUUGCAGAAAUAGUAGAGAAGCAAGGUAGAAUCAACAGAAUUUAGUAGACGAACAAGAGGACAUCCUUAUUACUGAGGAGAUAGGAGAUAAUCAGAAUAUUCAACUACCUUCUAUAGUUACUGCAGCUCUUGUUCCUCGUACUAUGUACGAUUAUGCUAAGCCCAUUUUGACUGGAGCUGAAUCGAGUUGUGCAACCCACCAUUGCUGUAAAUAACUUUGAACUAAGGCUGAACACAAUUCUAACUGAAUUAGGGAAAAAUGGUUAAUUCAAAUGAAUUUGAGGGGUUUCCUAAAAUUGAUUAAAAGGAAGUUGGUAAUCAUUUAGAAUUAAAAUUGGGAUAGUUUAGUUUUAAGUGGUAAAAUGACUAAAAUACCCUUAGGGUUAAAUCCUUAAAAAUAGUUUUAAAAUGGUUCACAAAUGAUAAGAUAUAAAAGUAAAAUAUUUUAAUCCUAUUCUUAAUGCAUUUUUGGAUGAAUAUUUAUGUAAAUUAGUGAAUUUGAUGCUCCUAAUCCUUUAAAUUCAUGUUUCUAUACUUAGGAGAGCAUUUGGGAGCGAAAGGAGCUUAAAAUGAGCCAAAAUCGGACAAAUAUAGUUGUUUUCAAGAGCCACACGGCCUAGGCAUUUCCACACGGGCUAGACACACACUCAUGUGCAAGUUCAUGUCGAUUUCCCACCUUGCUUCCCAAAUACGCGGAAAAACACAAUUUUUAGGCUUUCUGACCAUUCUAAAGUCUAUAAAUAUCACUUAGAAGAAGACAUAAGGGAGCCAUAAGAGAUAAUCAUAGAAAACACUUGAAGAACACCAUCGGAUUCAACUUAGAAGCGGAUCUCCAUCAAGAUCGAAGACCUUCUUUUAAUUUAUUCUAAAGUUUUAUGAGUUUCUUUGUUUCUUGUGGUUUUUUUAACUUUGAGAUGUUUCUAUUUACGAUUAUGAACUGAUUCCCUAGAUACCUAGAAAAGAGGAAACCUAUGAUGAAUCUUAUUUUUUGAUUUAUGAUUUACAUUAUAAAUACUUGAUUCUUAUUCUCAAUUAUGUAUGCUAAUUUCUUGUUUUAAUAUUUCCAGGAUAUUAAUUCAUGUUUAAUGUGCUUAAUUUAGUGGAACAAAAGUCUCCGUUUAAGAGUAGAUCUAGCAUAAUUGAGUGAAACUGCAUGUAAUCUUAGAAAUAAAAUGAUAGAAAUCUAUUCGAUUAGAGCCAAAUCAAAUAGGAGAAUCCAUAGAUCGAAUUAAUGCGACAAUAAGGGUUUUAAUUAGGAAGAUAUUUCAAUUAAUCAACCUAGAGUCAAUUGUUCUUACUCUCGAAAGAGAUAUUAACAUAAUUUAGGGAUUUCUACAGAUCAAGACACCAAUUGAAUAAAUCGUUUAAUUUAGAUUCAUAAUAAUAGGUGAAGUCUAGGUGGAUUCUUUCUUGGGUAUUGUCACUCUCAUUGGUUAAUAUUUGAUUAUUUUCUUAAUUUAUUCUCUGUUGGGUUCUUAGUUAAAUUAGUUUAGUAAUUUUAGAUUAAAACUCAUCACUCUAAUUUGUUGGCUAAAUAAUAAGAAAACAGUAAUUACUAAUACUUUUAGUCCUCGUGGAUACGAUAUCUUUAUUCAUCGUGGCUAUACUAUUGUUUGAUAAGUGCGUUUGCCUUUGUCGUAUUUAUAGUUAGUUAAGUGAUCAUCAAGAAAUCAUUUCGAGAGUAAGGUUAGACAACUAUUAGUUAGAAUAGAGGUGUUAUAAGCUUGGGGUGUGUUUUGAGGUGGUUUUGUGCUGGAAAGUCACUUCGAUGGCUAAUGUGUCUCUUCAGGUUUGGAUCGUUCUGUUUCGGUCAGGUUUGGGGUGUCACAUACAUAAUUGACAUCAAUAUAUAUGUAGAGAUUAGAGUCACAACAAUCGAACAAAGGUAAAUAAUACAAUAAUUUAUUCAUAUCGGAGAAAGGUACAUGAAUGAGUGGUAAUGAAAAAAAGUAAAAAGAAGACCAAAAAAAAACCUAGAAUACGAUAAAGCAAAAGGUAGGUCGAUUGAUAGUUCUAUUUUUGCAUCAAAUAUGUUAUUUGAAUGAACCAUGAAAACCCUUCAUACAACUCAAUAAUGAAACAAACAACAAACUAAAACCUUCCACAUUCAUACACACAUAUACACUCAACAACUAGUGAUGGUUUUUUUUUUAGCCAUGUUGAACUAUGUUUGAAAUGUACAACAAAACAACCUAAGCUCUUUGUCUUAAAUAAGUGAACUUUCUUCUUCUUUAGUUUUUUUUUUUUUUAGUUUUAAUCAAGAAACUUGGGGCUAUGAUUUUCUAAAUACUGUGAAUAAAAUUUAAGAACAACUUAUUAUUCAUGAGACAAAUAUGCAUGAGAGAAAAUGUGUUCAAAACCAAUGAGUUCUUUAGAAGUUUUAGUCUCAAAUGAUAGAUUUAAUUCCGUUGAUGUUUUAGAGUUCACAAUGGUGCUAGGAAAACUACAAGAUUUGACAUUCACAAGGUUAUAUAUUUGUUACUUUGUCAAUAAAUUAUCACAAUUCAUACACAAUCCAUUUGGAUUACACUAGAGAAUAGACAAACGAUUAUUGUGUUACUUGCAACAAACAAAAAAAUCUUAGUCUUUGAAUAUUUGAUUGUUUUGACUGUAAUUUCUAAAUAUAUAAUGAUGGCGAUUGUGCUAAUCUCGAUGAUUGUGUAUCCACAUUAGACUAUAUUCUAUUUUAUAGUUUCACUCCAAUUAGUUGGACAUAAAAAGAAAAGUUACUAUUGUACAAUCGUCAACCGAAGCUGAGUAUCGUGCUCUUGUGGCUACUUUUGAAACUCUUCGAGUCAAACAUCUACUCAAAUAGCUUUAGAUACCUCUUGAAUCCACCUAAAAUAUUCUGUGAUAAUUUGAGUGACACUCUACCUUGUCAUCAUCAUUUGUUGCAUAGCAAGAUUAAGCAUUUCAAAAUUGAUGUUAACUUUUUUAGUUUCUACGUUGAUCGUAAGGAACUUGAUGUUCAUCAUAUGUAUGCCAUGGCCUAGGUUCCAAUAUACUCACCAAGUCUCCUAAAACAACCUUUCAUUGUAUCUAUUGACUAAGUCUUUUAAUUACGAGAUAAAUCUUAUUUUGAAUUAAUUUUUAAGCUUUGUUUUGAAUUAACCUUUUAUCUUUUAGAAUUUUCUUGUUUAGAUUCUUUAAAUUUCAUUAGUUAAGAUUUAUUAUCUUUUAUUGUAUAUAAAUAUUGAAGCUGAUCAAUAAAUACCACUUAGAAGAAGACAUAAGGGAGCCAUAAGAGAAUAUCAAAGAAAACACUUGAAGAAUACCAUCAGAAUUAACUCGGAAGUGGAUCUCCAUCAAGAUCAAAGACCUCCUUCUAAUUUCUUCUGAAGGUUUUAUGAGUUUCUUUGUUUCUUGUGGUUUUUUUGAUUUUGAGAUGUUUCUAUUUACGAUUGUGAAAUAAUUCCCUAGAUACCUAGGAAAGAUGAAACCUAUAAUAAAUCUUAUUUUUUGAUUUCUGAUUUACAUAAUAAAUACUUGAUUCUUUUUCUUAAUUAUGUAUGCUAAUUUUUUAUUUUAAUAUUUCUAAGAUAUUAAUUCAUGUUUAAUGUGCUUAAUUCAGUUGAACAAAAGUCCCUGUUUUUCAAAUCGGAGAAAGGUACAUGAAUGAGUGGUAAUGAAAAAAAGUAGAAAAAAGACCCAACAAAAACCUAAAAUAUGAUGAGGCAAAAGGUAGGUCCACUGAUAAAUCUAUUUUUGCAUCAAACAUGUGAUUUUGAAUGAUGGCGAUUGUUGUGACUCUAACCACUACAUAUAUAAUGGUGGUGAUUGUGCUGGUGAUGUCGAUGAUUGUGUAUCGACAUUAGACUAUAUUUUAUUUUAAAGUUUCACUCCAAUCAGUUGGACAUAAAAAAAAGUUACUGAUGCACAAUCUUCAGCCGAAGCUGAGUAUCGUGCUCUUGUGGCUACUUUUGAAACUCUCUGGGUCAAACAUCUACUCAAAUAGCUUUAGAUACUUUUUGGAUCCACCUAAAAUAUUCUGUGACAAUUUGAGUGACCCUCUACCUUGUCAUCAUCAUUUAUUGCAUAGCAAGAUUAAGCAUUUCGAAAUUGAUGUUCACUUUUUUUAGUUUUAUAUGUUGAUCGUAAGCAACUUUGAUGUUCAUCAUAUUUUCUUUUCAUAUGCUAAGUAUUUUAUAUUUUAGUUUUAAUUAGAUUUUAAACAUUUUCUUUUCAAAAUAAUUUAUUUUUUUGUUCUUCAACUUCUAUAUGAUUUGAUUCCAAGACUUUGUUUUAAAGUAUUUUUAUAAUUUUCUUUCCCUUCUUGAUUGUCAACGGUGAUAUCUCGCUAGUUGUUAAAGGAUUUAGCGAAACUGAGCACAUCCAGUUUAUCAAACAGAGCAAUUUCUAUCUCACUCUCAUUUUAAUUUAUUUAUGUGUUGUGCGUGAUUGAAUUGAUUCUAGGGAAUAUGGAAAUGGGAUUCAUGAGUAGCUAAGUCCUUUAGAGAGAUUAAAGGGCUUCCCAUAGGAAUUAGCUAGUAUAAAUUUAUGUGUGCUUAAACCCUAGGAUUGACGAUCGUAGGAAGUAUCUAGGUUAAACGAAGUCGAGACAUAAGUUUACCGAGUAAAUCGUGAGUUUAUCUCAAUCAGGAAAGUGAGGUCGAGAGAUAGGUGAGUACUAGUUAGUUAAUUAAUUAGUAGAGGUCGAGAGGUAAUACUGGUUAGUUAAUAACUAAUUCACUAAUAAAACCUACAUUUUGAAGUUAAUUGCAACCACUGAAACAAGUUAAUAUUCUUCUUGUUCUUCGAGAGUUAUUCAUUUUUCAAGUUUGUUUUAGUAAUUUAAUUUUACUUUAUGACCUUAAUUGUUAGUAUUAAUCAUUGUAAUAUAAUUUUGAGUGAUUACUGUUUAGACCUGCUAUUAUAGACGAUAUUUUUAGAUUUAAUCCAGUCUCUCUUAGGUCUUAAUCCUCGAAAUACUUACUGGUGUUUCGUUGUAAUAGAAAACUAUAUUACAAUUUGACCUAUUCACUUGGAUAUAUCGCACUGUAAUUAUAUAUAUUUUAUUUGUAAAAUUUUUACUUUAAAUGCUCGCACGUUUGGAGGUGGUCAAAACUCAUGCUUGAUCCCUUCAUCCUCAUAGUAAACAUCAAAUCUUUAUUUUUGAAUUCCCUUUCAUGAUCACUUCUUAUUCUUCUAGUCAUUCCAAUGACACGACCCUUUUCAUUCAUCAAGGUCUUGCACAACUUCUGACGGCUUCAAGGGUGUCUGAUUUGUCUCUAAGAAAUUUCACCCAUGUGAACCUUGAAUAUUCAUCCACACAGACUAGCACAUAUCUUUUGCCACUGAUUUUCUGUAUCUAUAUAGGACCAAUCAAAUCCAUAUAAAACAGCUCUAGUGGCUCGAAUGUUUGGUCUUGAGUGACUCUUUGAUGUUUCUCCCUAUGUUACUUACCCUUUAAGCAACAGCUAAAAACUUUAUGGACAUCACCAAUUAAUAUAGGAAUACCCCUGACAACCUCGGACUAGAUCAACAUUUGAAGUCCUUUUUAAUGCAUGCGACCAAGUGUCUCAUGCCACAAUCCUAACUCAGAGACAAUUGCCUUAUUUCACUUCACAUACUGUAGAACUUUAUAACAAUUAUCAAAGGUCCUCUACCUUUUCAUAAUUUUAUCUUUUAUCUCGAAAGAGACUUCACAACUAUCUUUUAUGAAAUUGAUUAACAUUCUUUGGUCACAAAACUUAUUUAUACUAGUUAAUCACAGUAAUUUUUUAUAAAAGAUAUUUUCUAAAAUUAUAUGAUAUAAAAUAUCAAAUUAAUUCCGAUGUACAACAGGUGGAAUUAUUUUAUUAAGUCGUACAUAUAAUUUGUUGAAAAAAUUGUACUUAAAAUUUGUUAAAAUAACAUUAGGAUAAAAAUUAUGAAGGUCCACAUGAAAAAUUAUGAAGAGAGAAUUUUUCCUCUAGCUUAGGGUACUAUGAUUAAUAUACAAUUGUUAUUAUUUCAUAAAAAAAGAUUAUAAAGGUAAUAAUUAUAUCGGUGUAAGUUGUCUCUUGUAUAUUUUACUUCACUUAAAUUCGUCGAAGCCUCCGAAUGAAAAAUUGGACAUAUGUAUAUGUGUAUAUAUAUAUUACCAGGGAAAUCUAAUAUGAGUAUCUUCCUUGGUCUUCAUUUUCAAAUUGCCAUGGAAAUCUACUACUCUAUGUUCAUCGCUCCUUUUACAACAAUGCUAAGCUUCUCCACCUUACUUGCUUUCAUCACUUUUGCUUUGAGUCACCUCUUUAAGCUUCAAUGGCAGCGCAAUGCCCAAAAGCCUAAACAGCCCUCUCUUCCGCCAGGCCCUAAACCUUGGCCUAUUGUGGGAAACCUCCCGGAAUUAAUCAUCAAUAAGAAGAAAACUUCGGUGUCUUAUUGGAUACACAGUUUCAUGAAAGAAAUGAACACCGAAAUUGCUUGUAUUCGUCUAGGAAAUGUUCAUGUGAUUCCCGUUACUUGUCCUGAAAUCAGUCUCCAAUUCAUGAGAAAACAGGAUGCUAUUUUUGCUUCAAGACCCCUUAACAUGGCCACUGAUGUCCUCUCAAAAGGGCACUUAACCACUAUUUUUUCACCCUUAGGAGAUCAGUGGAGAAAAAUGAAGAGAGUUAUGGUCAGCGAGAUGCUUUCACAUGAAAGACAUCGAUGGCUUCACGAGAAAAGAGUUGAAGAAGCUGAUAACCUCGUGCGUUGCGUACUUAACCAAUGCAAAAAUGGUGAUGAAGGCGGCCUAGUGGACUUAAGACUGGUUGCCCGACAAUAUUGUUGCAAUGUGAUAAAAAAGUUGAUCUUUAAUCGAGGGUACUUUGGAGAAGGGAAAGCAGAUGGUGGACCUGGUUUUGAGGAAGAAGAAUACGUCGACGCCAUUCUCGCUUUAGUCAUUCAUCUUUAUUCCUUUUGUAUAUCCGAUUACUGGCCAUUUUUGAGAGGCCUCGACCUGGAGGGGCAUGAGAAAAUCGUGGAGGACGCCACUAGGGUUCUAGAGAAAUAUAACAAUCCCAUUAUUGAAGACAGGAUUCAACAAUGGAGAGAUGGCAAGAAACAUGAACCUCAAGACUUGCUUGAUGUUUUGGUUUCUUUAACGG